RNAcentral lists this ribosomal RNA (405 nucleotides) under Triticum aestivum (bread wheat). Its description in RNAcentral is "partial small subunit ribosomal RNA". The record is from RNAcentral. Lineage: Eukaryota; Viridiplantae; Streptophyta; Magnoliopsida; Poales; Poaceae.
AUGGCCGCUGGCGACGGCGAGCCGGACCCGGCGGUGCAGCAGCGUCCGCAGCUGCAGUCGAAGAAAGCAGAGAUGCUGCGGUCUGUGGACGAGCACUUCCGCGCCAGGGAGGCCGCCGGCGUGCCGAGGAAGCACACCCACCACCACAUCGGCGGCAUUGACAAAAUGAUCGAGUUCAUGGAGGAGUACGGCGGCCUGACGCCGAUGGAGGACUGGAAGGAGGAGCUGCUGCUAUCGAGCAUGGCGAGCAUGUGCGACGACCUCGAGACCUUCCGCGACCGCGCCAACGACGGCGAGAACGUCCGGAAGGGCCUGCAGGGAUGGCGCGGCGGCUUAGAUGCUCAGGCUCAAUACAAAACCAUGGAUGCUGCUGCUGAAGCUGAUGGGUUGGCCAUAGAUGAUUAA